GGGCCAGGAGGAGGCAAUGGACAGAAGGGACGUCUGAAAGGAUACUCUCGAUUUCUGCCUUUAUUCUACACACAAGCCC
RNAcentral lists this small nucleolar RNA (79 nucleotides) under Capra hircus (goat). RNAcentral describes it as "Small nucleolar RNA SNORD75 (ENSCHIG00000002983.1)". Lineage: Eukaryota; Metazoa; Chordata; Mammalia; Artiodactyla; Bovidae. The record is from RNAcentral.